This 308-nucleotide ribosomal RNA is filed under the name Salmonella enterica subsp. enterica serovar Typhimurium. RNAcentral describes it as "bacterial LSU rRNA". It matches the Rfam family "Bacterial large subunit ribosomal RNA", at positions 481 to 689 of the family's 2925-position model. Lineage: Bacteria; Pseudomonadati; Pseudomonadota; Gammaproteobacteria; Enterobacterales; Enterobacteriaceae. The record is from RNAcentral.
UGACCGAUAGUGAACCAGUACCGUGAGGGAAAGGCGAAAAGAACCCCGGCGAGGGGAGUGAAAAAGAACCUGAAACCGUGUACGUACAAGCAGUGGGAGCCCCACCACCAAAGCAUUCUCUGGUGUUGAAGGCCCUGCAAAGCAGCAUCGCGGUGGCGGAGCGUCGUUUGCGACGCCCAACACACAAAACAAGCGGUGAAUGCUUUGGGGUGGGGUGACUGCGUACCUUUUGUAUAAUGGGUCAGCGACUUAUAUUCUGUAGCAAGGUUAACCGAAUAGGGGAGCCGGAGGGAAACCGAGUCUUAAUU